Molecule: ribosomal RNA, 253 nt
Filed under: uncultured bacterium
Lineage: Bacteria
Description: partial 16S ribosomal RNA
Rfam family: Bacterial small subunit ribosomal RNA
Source: RNAcentral
UACGGAGGGUGCAAGCGUUAUCCGGAUUCACGGGGGUUAAAGGGUGCGUAGGUGGGUUGGUAAGUCAGUGGUGAAAUCCCCGAGCUUAACUUGGGAAUUGCGCUCGAAACUACGUGGCUCGAGUGUGGCAGAGGGAGGUGGAAUUCCACGUGUAGCAGUGAAAUGCGUAGAGAUGUGGAGGAACACCGAUGGCGAAGGCAGCCCCCUGGGUUAACACUGACGCUCAGGCACGAAAGCGUGGGGAGCAAACAGG